This 590-nucleotide long non-coding RNA is filed under the name Ananas comosus (pineapple). Its description in RNAcentral is "long non-coding RNA (ACOM_LNC005463)". The record is from RNAcentral. Lineage: Eukaryota; Viridiplantae; Streptophyta; Magnoliopsida; Poales; Bromeliaceae.
UUUGUUUUUAAACUCUAAUUCAUUCAUCAUGAAAAACCAUUUGAAAAUCUUUUUAAAACUGUUUCCCACAAGAAAACUCUGUUUUGAAAACCAGCUACCUCGAGGGGUAGAAAACCACGAUAUGUAAAUAAGAAAAUCUGAUAUCCAUAAAAUCAACAUCCAAAUUCACAAACCUCAGUUCACAUGCAUAAAUAACGAAAACAUCCACAGAUCUACCAAAACCAGAUAUCAACAUUCAAACAAUCAUAAAGAUCAGCUGACUGAACCAUAUAAACUAUCUAAGCUAUAUCAACAGGACAGUAAGGGUAGAAACUAAACCGAAUAACGUGGGUCGGAAGCUCUAGCGACCACUACGAACGUGUCUCACGUCUCGUCUCAACUCUCACCGCCGGCGAUACCUGAAAAAUAGUGGGGGAUGUGAGAACAUGUAAACAUGUCUCCCCUCCCAGUGGGUACCGCAAGCCGAUGAAGGCGAGGAGUACUCACCGGAUCAGGAAGAGAUAUAUAACAAUAUGGUAAACAAAUACUGAUGCUGAUAUAAAGAACUACAGUAGCUAUAACAGAUAAAGAAGAAGUAAUAAACAAUACUG